CCGUGGGGAGAGGCCAGGACCCGAGAUCCCCCUUCCCGCCCUAGCCGCGGUUUCCCCACUCACCGGUUUCAUCAGUAACAUAGGGAGUCGCCAUCUUGGAAACGCAACCUACUUCCUGUCUCAUUGCCACCGCCUCCUCCGGAUAUGGCGUACGGGGAGGGGAAGAAAAAGAGGGCCCGGCGGCCAUUUUGUUCUUUAAGUAGACAUAGCCGCGGCCUUUCUUUCUUCUCUGUCCGCCGCCUUUGUGUCCCAGCAUGCUGUGCGGCGGCAGCAGCAGCAGCAGCCUCUGCGCAGCUGAGCUCUCCCGGGCUGAGGACAGAGCCGGUAGCUGCGCCUCACGGCUUCGUGAAGGACCAGAAGUCUGGCUUUACAGUUUUGAACCCGGGUCAUUUUAAUGCCUAAUAAUGGCGCUGGCCUCGUCUCGUUAUUUCCACGAGGCAGGGAAUAGUGGUGGUCUUGCAUUUCAAUCCAAGGAGGAGCCGCAGGAUCACAUCCCCCCCCCCUCAGCCCCCUCGAAGCUCAGCGGUUGAGAUUUGGCCAGUCACUUCUUAGCCUAACCUACCUCACAGGGUUGUUGUGAAUCACACCACUCUGAGCGCCUUGAAACCAGAGCAGGAUCUAAAUACUGCUGCUACCCCUGACCUGAAUCCAGGGCACUGAAGAAAACCAUGAGGGGUAAAAGGAACCAACAAGAAAUGGAAAUCCAGUGCUUUGCUCUAGAACAGUGUUCUUCAUUGUAAGGCUCAGGCAGCUCCCAUCAAACCACCAAUUAGUCAAGGAGUGAGACCAAGCUUCGUAAGAUUUGGAGCCACCAAGCCCUGACAAAAACCAGCUAAAUACCUGUAUGACCUGAUAUAUUCAGCACACAGAAGAGCACUGACAUUGGCUCAGCUGGAUGUGCUGCCCUCUGCGGGAACAGAGGGUAGGUAUAGAAGAGUUCCUUAUUUGGAGAGACUGUGCCCUUGUGGAAGUGAGAAGAUUGAAAUGGUUGCCAUGUGCUUCUGUAUUAUUCUUUCUGUCGCAAGCUCAUUCCAAAUAUAUUGCUCUUCUCAUUCUUAGAUACCCUGACAAUUCGGAUGAAUUUUAUAUAAACUUAUUUCUUUAUGAUAAACACACUUAUGUCUCGCACUCAAUAGCCAAAUUCUGUACAGCUGCAAUUAAAAUUCGCUCAUGGUG
Hemicordylus capensis (graceful crag lizard) is the source of this 1176-nucleotide long non-coding RNA. RefSeq lists it as uncharacterized. The record is from RefSeq and is a predicted model, not a curated record. The transcript has 2 exons. Lineage: Eukaryota; Metazoa; Chordata; Lepidosauria; Squamata; Cordylidae.